RNAcentral lists this ribosomal RNA (466 nucleotides) under uncultured bacterium. RNAcentral describes it as "bacterial SSU rRNA". It matches the Rfam family "Bacterial small subunit ribosomal RNA", at positions 331 to 793 of the family's 1533-position model. The record is from RNAcentral.
CCAGACUCCUACGGGAGGCAGCAGUGAGGAAUAUUGGUCAAUGGCCGAGAGGCUGAACCAGCCAAGUCGCGUGAGGGAUGACGGCCCUACGGGUUGUAAACCUCUUUUGCCGGGGAGCAAAGAGCGGGACGCGUCCCGCCUCGAGAGUACCCGGAGAAAAAGCAUCGGCUAACUCCGUGCCAGCAGCCGCGGUAAUACGUAGGUGGCAAGCGUUGUUCGGAAUAACUGGGCGUAAAGGAUGCGUAGGCGGUUAAACAAGUUAUAUGUUAAAUAUAUAGGCUUAACCUGUAGAAAGCAUAUAAAACUGUUUAACUAGAGUGCAGGAGAGGUAAGUGGAAUUCCUAGUGUAGCGGUGAAAUGCGUAGAGAUUAGGAAGAACACCAGUGGCGAAGGCGACUUACUGGACUGUAACUGACGCUGAGGCAUGAGAGCAUGGGGAGCAAACAGGAUUAGAUACCCCGGUAUG